GCCAGAUGUGGUGGUACACACCUGUAAUUCCAGUGACUCGGGAGGCUGAGGCAGGAGGAUCACAAGUCCAAAGCCAACCUCAGCAAUGGUGAGGUGCUUAGCAACUCAGUGAGACCCUGUCUCUA
RNAcentral lists this small RNA (125 nucleotides) under Marmota monax (woodchuck). Lineage: Eukaryota; Metazoa; Chordata; Mammalia; Rodentia; Sciuridae. The record is from RNAcentral.